Molecule: transfer RNA, 68 nt
Filed under: Marmota monax (woodchuck)
Lineage: Eukaryota; Metazoa; Chordata; Mammalia; Rodentia; Sciuridae
Description: tRNA.Ala
Source: RNAcentral
GUGGUGGCUCAGUGGUAGAGCGCUCACCUGGCAUGCUCGAGGCCCUGGGUUUGAUCCUCAAAACCACA